Non-coding RNA from Chelonoidis abingdonii (Abingdon island giant tortoise), 126 nucleotides. The record is from RefSeq and is a predicted model, not a curated record. Lineage: Eukaryota; Metazoa; Chordata; Testudines; Testudinidae.
GACCCUGAUUUAGGCAGGAUUGAGGCCAGGUCUACACUAGGAAGUUAGCUUGGUAUAACUGUCACACGGGGGUGAAAAAUCCACACCCCUGAGUGAUGCAGUUAAAGCAACCUAACCGCAGUGUAG